Molecule: long non-coding RNA, 6556 nt
Organism: Parus major (Great Tit)
Lineage: Eukaryota; Metazoa; Chordata; Aves; Passeriformes; Paridae
Exons: 3
Source: RefSeq, a predicted model, not a curated record
UCUGUCCAUCGCUGUCACAUGUGUGCUCCGUGCCCGCCCGGCCGUGCCACGCGUGUGCUCCUGGUCUGCCCAUCAAUGCCACACAUAUGCUCCCGGUCUGUUUAUUGGAACCACGCAUGUGCUGCUUGUCCAUCAGUGCCAUACGUGUGCUCCUGGUCUGUCCAUCAGUGCCACAUGCAUGUUCCAUGACCUCUCAGCAGUGUCACGUGUGUGCUCUUCUUCUGUCUGUUGGUGUCAUAUGUGUCCCCUGUCCAUCAAUGCCACAUUUGUGCUUCUGGUCUGUCCAUUAGUGCCACGUGCAUGCUCCACACUCACCCAACAGUGCCAUGUUUCUGCUUCUAGUCUGUCUGUCCAUGCCACCACACGUUCCUUGUCUGCCCAUACCUGCCACACAUAUCCCAGACUGUCCCUGAGUGCCACACGUGUGUUUCGUCUGUCCAUCUGUCCCAUACUUGUGCUCCCUGACCAUCAGUGACCUGCAUGCUCCCAGUCUGUCCAUCACUGCCAUAUGUGUGUUUUCUGUCUGUCCUUCACUGCCAUACAUGUGGUCCUAGUCUGCCCAUUGGUGCCAUUUGUGUGUUCCAUGUCCACCUGGCAGUGCCAUUCAUGUGCUCCUGCUCUGUCCACCAGUGCCACAUGUACUUCAUGCCCACCCAGCAGGUGCCACACACUUGCUCCAUCCCCAGUCAGGGCACAGUAGUGGUCCAUCUGAGGGCUGCCUGCUUGGCCGGCAGUAGUACAGCUGGCAUGAGGAUGUAGGAGGAGGAACUGCGGGACUGUUGGAACCUGGAAGAGGAAUUUGAUGUGUCAGGGAGUUCUCUCAGGCCGGUGCUGUAGGUGCUGGGUGUGGCAUCGGAGCAGCCAGGGCACAGCCAGCAGCUGUGCCACGUGCGAAGGCUGGAGUCAGGGGAAGGUGAGGGCACUUGAUGGCUGAAGGGCAAUUUACUUCACUGUCUCUUGCUCUGUGCCAGUCACAUGGUGCCAAUCCAAAAGAUCUUGAGGUGAGAAUGGAAUGCUGCAGGAGCUGAGCCAUGGGUUAGCCAUGCCAGAGGAGGUAUGGUGAAACCAGGGAUUGUCCAGGACACUGGAGCAUUGCCAUUGCUCAUGGCAAUAUGCCACAGUAGAUCAUGUUGACUGUGCCUAUCCCACUGAAUAUCUGGACAACUCUCAAAAAAUUCUCAGUGUCACUAUCCAGGUUGCUCUGGGCCCAACAUGACACCAUUGUAGAGGGACUUGGGCAGCUCAGAGGGUCUUCCCCACUGUGAAUUUUCAUUCCCAGGCACAUUGUGCAGGAUGCCUACAGGAACUCGCUGGUGCGCUGCAGUGUUUCUGAUGACCACUACAAACAGGAUGGACAUCCUCUGAAGCCUCAGCCAGGCAGGGAAGCAUGGCUUUUUCCAGGGAUGGCUGUGAGGAGCCGUGAGUGGAUGGAAAUGGAUGAAAAGGAUGUUCUGGAGAAUUUGUGUUCAGUGGGUGACUUUCUCGCAAUGAAUUUGUGGAUAAAGUCAGGCUCAGCUCUCAGCCUGCUCCAGUCCCUGGGCAUACACUUGUCCCAAACAGAGCAGUGACUGGCUGAGCUGUUGUUCAGAGCUGGCUGGCACAGGGGAGCCUGUGGGGGAUCCUAUGAGAACUUGGUGAAUCAGCAUUGUGAGAGAUGUGGGGACCAUUGGAUAUUCAGGAGAGGCAGGAUAAAUCCCGUUUCUGGAGUCCAGCCACUUUGCAGGAAAUGUUGAGCAAGGAAGGGAGUAAAAGAACAUUUUGCUUCUGCUAAGGAGUUGAUCUACCCAGCAGUGAUGCUGCAUUUUUCACCAUGAUCAGACUUCCUCACUGAGGUCACCACUGAAUUCCCCACCUUGCAGCUGAGCUGCUGAGGAGCUGGUACAGAGGGAACGUCCUCUUGUAGCACCAUAGGCAGGGGCAAAAAUCUUCUCCUACCUCAGCUCAACCAUUGGAAGGUUUGGGAUCCACUUAUAAAGCAAUGCAGAGUGUCCCUCUCUGGUGAGCAUGGACACGAGUUUCCCCAGUUUGUGGAUGCAAGGCCAGUCACACCAAGAGCUGAUGUUCUCUGAGUGAGGAUUUGGGGCAGACCAUUCACACCUGGCUUGAAGCUUCAGAUCAAUGUUUUAGGUCAAGUCCAGCAUGGAUUCAAUGAGGGUUUAACUUGCACUGCAAGAGCAAACUCCUGCCACUCCAGAUUAGAAUGCAUGAUGUUGAGGCACUCUUGUCCUUAAUAGCAGGGGAAAAAGAAAGUGGAAUUGUUUGGUGGCACUGGACCUUCAGCUGUUGGUUCAGCCUGUUGGGUACUGGGUGUAUUCAGCACAAAGUCUCUGCGGAUGGCUUUGUUACAGACAAACAUGUGGUGACUCCAGGUCCAUUGCUAUUUAUACUGUAUUAAAAAAAGGUUGGAUUUGGGUUUUAUCUGAGCAUUCUGCUGCUCUAUUCUCUUUAGGUGCCUUCUAAUUUCUUACAAGUUUUGUUCUUCUGUUUUGUUCUAAAGAAAUCGUUGGUCUUCUGACAAAAAUACUUAGCUGGACCAGGGGCUGGACAUGCACAGGGCAAAGCAGUUGGGACCUACUGAGGUCUGAUACAAGAUGGGAAGAAAUCCUGCCAGAGACAUCCCAUCAAAUACUCUAGAGAUCAUAGAAACAUGGAAUGGUUUGGGUUGGAAAGGGACCUUAAAAACCCUCUAGUUCCAAUCCCUCUGCCGUGGGCAGGGGUACUAGACCAGGUUGCUCCAAGCCCUGUGCAACCUGGCCUUGAACACCUGGACUUGUUGGUCAGCAUCUAGACUCGAGUAGAGGCAAAACUGGAACUAUUUACAGGGUGCCCCUGAGAGUUGCUGUGUGGGAUCAGAGCCAGGCAGAGAAGUGUGCACAACAGCACCCAACACAUCCUUAGACAUCAUUUAGUGCCAAGUCACACAAAGAGAACUCAAGAGUUAAUAACCAUCCCUUCUGCUGGCAUCCAGGAGUGCUUCCUUGGGGAGCGACACUGAAUAUUGAGGUGCUUUUGGGAUCACUACAGAUGAAGUUUGGCUCUUACAGUCACAGCUGGACAGUCAGUGGUACCUGGGUGUCUCUACAGUCAGUGUGAGACAAUGAGCACCCACAGAAACCAUUCAUCCCCAUCCUCUGAACACUCCCCGUGGAGUGAGAUGAAUUUUUCAAUGGAACUGCCUUAUUCUUCCCAUCAAACACGAAGGGAGUGUCUCUGUCUCCAUCUGAGAUGUUCACCCGUCCAAGGUUGGGUGGGAAAACUGUGAUCCAUGGAGAGACCUGUGAUCCACCAAUUGGGUAACUGUGAUCCACCAGAAGGAUGGAAAAAAGGAAUGAUCCCAGUUGUCUUGGGAGAGUCAUUUCAAGGGAGGCACAGAAAAGUAUGAGGGCUCUGGUGACACUUUGGGCUGCCACCUGCUUCUGGUGAGCCCACACGGAGAAUUUAGCCUGAGACUAGGGCAGAGAGGGUUUGCUGGAUUGUUCAGGAGAGUGUCUUACAGAGAUGACUCAGCUCCCUGAUCUCUGAGAAAUGGAUGCUGAGAGAAGACACAUUUGUGGAAAACCUGGGAGGGACAUGGGCUAAACCCUGGCACUACCUUAGGAAGGGAUGAGUAAGAAUGAACAGACCAUGAAUAUCCCUGUGUCUGAAAUGAGGAGAUGCUGACCAAACAUUGGAGCCAUCAGGGUCUACAGGAGUGACCUCAGAGAAGUAUUGGGAAGAGAGCCUGGUGGCUGCAGAAAAGAGCUUGCUCAGGUUCUGGGUGACAUGGCCCAGUGUGGUCUCCUCUCACAGUGGGCACUGGGCACCGGAGUCUCUUCCCCAAAGUGAGAAAUCAGAUUUAAUUCUCCUGUAGCUUUUGCUAACACUGAGCCUAACCAAGAGGUUUUCCCAAGUAGAAUUAUUCUUGACUUUAAUCAAAACCCAAUUUAGAUCCAGGUCAGAUAAUAAGUCAAAGCAGUUCAGGGAAGUCAGCAAGGGGUGUGGAUUCCUUCUGGAGCCUCUUGGAUUGCUGUCCAUAUCACAGCACCAAACAUCAUUUGGUCAGGCUUCUGCUUGGGAGAGGCCUGGGAAUAAGAGAAGCAGAGCAGCCGGAGUCACAAAUUGAGAGGGGAUUUGUGGAAAUAAUAGACAUUUUUCCCACCUUCUUAUUCUGUCUCCAGCGUGUCUUCAGCAGGCUGGGAAUCAAACCACGUGGCCACUGGAUUGAUGUGCUUGGGGGAAGAGCCACAGAAGGAGUGGGGUAGCCUGGCGCCGUGGGGAAGAACCGAAAUACCCAGCAGCUGCCAGAGCUGUGUGGGAGCCCGGGCAGGAACAGCCAGGGAACUGCAGAGCAGGGCUGAGCUCCAUUCCCAGAGCUGCGUGGGGAAGGCUGAUGGCACCUGCCCACAUCCUCUGUGACUGCACAUGAUGCCAUGUCUCCCUCAGUUUCAAGACCAGCAAAUUCACCCUUCCCUGCUUUUUCUCCUCAGGAGGAAGAAGGGGGAAAAAAAGAAACAACCGGGAGACCACAGAUUUUCAGGCUAGGCUGUGCUAAGGCGGCACAAGCUGUCAGCAGGCGCACUGGGAGCAGCCAGGAGAAGCCGGGAGGAGCUGGGGUGCCCUCGGCAAGCUGGAGAUCUCAUUGUCUGCGUGGCAGAGGACAAGAGGGAAGGAAUAUGAACCAAAAAUAGUCUUACAGUUUAAGAAGUAAGACUGUUCCUGUGACCUCUCACAGUUGUGUUGGGUUAACAGUUGGACUCGAUGAGCUUAGAGGUCUUUUCCAUCCUUUGCAGUUCUGUGGUUCCUUGAUUCUCUGAUUCUGUGCCAGGGGGUCUCUCUUUCUCCACCUGUCCAGAGCAGGUCUUCUCCAUUUUUCCAGGUGUGAUCUGUUACUUCAGGCACAUUGCUCAGGCUGUUCUAUUCAGCCCCUUUGCCCUCUGAAAUCCUCACCAUGGGUACACUCCAGCAGCAUCUGCAGCUGCAAACGUCUUGAUGGGACUUUCCAGUGAGCCUGCUCUGAAGUCAGGGCCAUUGCUCUGCUUUCUGAGGAAUCCCUGCUGCUUCUGCAGGGCUCCUGGGCACAGCUGGCACGGGAGGGGAAAGCUGGGGUGGACAACUCUGAUCCUUCCAGAAGCCCCCUCCAUGGGGGUCUAGCCUUUACCUUACAAAAUUUAAAUGCCAGUGCUGGAAGGAAUUCCUGGCAGGUGGAGAAGACAAACACCUUGUGCCUGGGGAGUGCUGCCUGCUCAGCAGGCCCCAGGAAAAGCUGGGUUUACAUUUUUGGUGUGUUGGGGGACACAAAGGCCUCUGUGUUGAUAUUUCUGGGUGAGAUUUAAUGGACUCAGGCUGAAUCCUGGGAACUUAUAAAGCAGCAGGAUAAAGAAAUGCCAGCUAUUCCUCAGUCUGGCUGCGUCCCACCUCCAAAUACUUUAAAGACUUUGAUCCAGUUGUUAACUCAGAAGUGGACACUGGUCCAUGUGGCUCAUCCAUCCCCUCCUGUCUAGCUGGGUGCCCAGCAGGGUCUGUGCUGAGGGCACUGUGUGGCUGCUGAUGGCAGAACUGCUUGUGACUGUCCCUGAGCAAGUUCCUGGUGCCAUCCAUCCCUCUCCAAAGCCUGGUUACCAGCAGAGCUGAAAAGUCUUACCUGCAGCAUCACCCCCAGGACAUGCUGAGCUUCAGCCAGGCUACUUCCAUGUGGAACAGGAGACAGCAGAGCCCUCCCAGUGCCAUACCCCAUCCCAUGGGAGGCUGCUCAUUCUCAUCCAACUUUCUGUGUCACACAGUGGCCAAGGCAGCACUGUGGCAAUUUCUCCUGGAUUAAUCUGGGGACUGUGUGAUUGGGUUUUUGCUUGAUUUCCUCAGGGAUGUCCCACGUGUGGGAUGGUCCCAGGAUAAAGUGGAUUCUGUGCCAUCCUAGGGCUGAACGGGUUAAUUUUUGUGCUUCCCUCCCCAGCUCGCUGCGGACUCUGGCUGGGACAGAACAUCUGUCUGUUGCUAUGGCUGCAGUACACUUGAAGGGGAUGACUGGAUAAUUAUUGCAAACAUCCAUCCUGCCUGGUGUGCUCCCGGACCCUCCCUGCCCCAGCCAGGGCAGCGGCCGGUGCUUGGGCCCAACUUCACUCUCAGGGACCCUGCCGAGGAAUGAUUGCUCUGGGCUGAUCCUGCCGUGCCUCCUCCAGGCACAGGAUCCCACCUGGCUGCUGCUGAGCAGGACCUUGCCAACUCAGCACAAACCAGGCUGUAGACCCCCGUGAUUGUCACACCGUCAGGGACUUUGGAAGCAGCAAGGUCCUGGGUCACAGCAUGGACCCAAGGCUUUCCCUGGUUCUCCCUAGAAGCACAAGUGGAGCUGGGACCAGGAUGAGGGCAGACCUCCACAGCCACUGGUGAGCAAACAGCACCACAGCUGGGACCCUCUGCCAUGUUCGCUUUCACUCUGCAGGGAUCCAGGUAGGCUGUGCAGGACAAGACUGCCUCUUUUUCUCAUUACCUAUAACAUCAUCAAUAAAUAAUACUAUUUUCACACAGUGCUUUGGAUCUGCAGAGCAGUUGUCUAGCACUCAUUGGUGUGGAGCAUUCC